RNAcentral lists this ribosomal RNA (291 nucleotides) under Escherichia coli. RNAcentral describes it as "partial 16S ribosomal RNA". It matches the Rfam family "Bacterial small subunit ribosomal RNA", at positions 865 to 1156 of the family's 1533-position model. The record is from RNAcentral. Lineage: Bacteria; Pseudomonadati; Pseudomonadota; Gammaproteobacteria; Enterobacterales; Enterobacteriaceae.
UCGACCGCCUGGGGAGUACGGCCGCAAGGUUAAAACUCAAAUGAAUUGACGGGGGCCCGCACAAGCGGUGGAGCAUGUGGUUUAAUUCGAUGCAACGCGAAGAACCUUACCUGGUCUUGACAUCCACAGAACCUUGUAGAGAUACGAGGGUGCCUUCGGGAACUGUGAGACAGGUGCUGCAUGGCUGUCGUCAGCUCGUGUUGUGAAAUGUUGGGUUAAGUCCCGCAACGAGCGCAACCCUUAUCCUUUGUUGCCAGCGGUCCGGCCGGGAACUCAAAGGAGACUGCCAGU